Molecule: ribosomal RNA, 235 nt
Filed under: uncultured bacterium
Lineage: Bacteria
Description: partial 16S ribosomal RNA
Rfam family: Bacterial small subunit ribosomal RNA
Source: RNAcentral
CGGCACGGGUGAGUAACACGUGUCCAACCUGCCGUCUACUCUUGGACAGCCUCUGAAAGGAAGAUUAAUACAAGAUGGCAUCAUGAGUCCGCAUGUUCACAUGAUUAAAGGUAUUCCGGUAGACGAUGGGGAUGCGUUCCAUUAGAUAGUAGGCGGGGUAACGGCCCACCUAGUCUUCGAUGGAUAGGGGUUCUGAGAGGAAGGUCCCCCACAUUGGAACUGAGACACGGUCCAA